GAGUUUGAUCGUGGCUCAGGAUGAACGCUAGCGGGAGGCCUAACACAUGCAAGCCGAGCGGUAUUGUUUCUUCGGAAAUGAGAGAGCGGCGUACGGGUGCGGAACACGUGUGCAACCUGCCUUUAUCUGGGGGAUAGCCUUUCGAAAAGGAAGAUUAAUACUCCAUAAUAUAUUGAACGGCAUCGUUUAAUAUUGAAAGCUCCGGCGGAUAGAGAUGGGCACGCGCAAGAUUAGCUAGUUGGUGAGGUAACGCUCACCAAGGCGAUGAUCG
RNAcentral lists this ribosomal RNA (271 nucleotides) under uncultured microorganism. RNAcentral describes it as "partial 16S ribosomal RNA". It matches the Rfam family "Bacterial small subunit ribosomal RNA", at positions 9 to 282 of the family's 1533-position model. The record is from RNAcentral.